GACUUUCCAAGAGGGAUUUGGAAUGGGGGUGGGCAGGAGGAGGAAGAUAAGGAGAUGAGUCAUCUCGUGAGGGAUGACGUAAGCAGA
This 87-nucleotide small RNA is filed under the name Polytomella parva. RNAcentral describes it as "partial Betaproteobacteria transfer-messenger RNA". Lineage: Eukaryota; Viridiplantae; Chlorophyta; Chlorophyceae; Chlamydomonadales; Chlamydomonadaceae. The record is from RNAcentral.